GGUUAUGGCUCAGUGGUAGAGUGCUUGCCUAGCAUGCAUGAGGCACUGGGUUCAAUCUCCAGCACCA
Molecule: transfer RNA, 67 nt
Filed under: Marmota marmota marmota (Alpine marmot)
Lineage: Eukaryota; Metazoa; Chordata; Mammalia; Rodentia; Sciuridae
Also listed under: 4 other names
Rfam family: tRNA
About the family: Transfer RNA (tRNA) molecules are approximately 80 nucleotides in length.
Source: Rfam by way of RNAcentral